CGCGUAGACGGUUUUGUAAGUCAGAUGUGAAGUCCCUGGGCUCAACCUGGGAACUGCAUUUGAUACUGCAUGGCUAGAGUAUGGAAGAGGGAAGUGGAAUUUCCGGUGUAGCGGUGAAAUGCGUAGAUAUCGGAAGGAACACCAGUGGCGAAAGCGACUUCCUGGUCCAAUACUGACGUUCAUGUGCGAAAGCGUGGGGAGCAAACAGGAUUAGAUACCCUGGUAGUCCACGCCAUAAACGAUGACAACUAGAUGUUGGGAGGGUCUGCCUCUCGGUGUCGCAGCUAACGCGUUAAGUUGUCCGCCUGGGGAGUACGGCCGCAAGGUUGAA
This 331-nucleotide ribosomal RNA is filed under the name uncultured bacterium. RNAcentral describes it as "bacterial SSU rRNA". It matches the Rfam family "Bacterial small subunit ribosomal RNA", at positions 568 to 898 of the family's 1533-position model. The record is from RNAcentral.